Molecule: transfer RNA, 72 nt
Filed under: Nocardioidaceae bacterium
Lineage: Bacteria; Bacillati; Actinomycetota; Actinomycetes; Propionibacteriales; Nocardioidaceae
Also listed under: 1 other name
Description: tRNA-Val
Rfam family: tRNA
About the family: Transfer RNA (tRNA) molecules are approximately 80 nucleotides in length. Their secondary structure includes four short double-helical elements and three loops (D, anti-codon, and T loops).
Source: RNAcentral
GGGCGUAUAGCUCAGCGGUAGAGCUCCUGCCUUACAAGCAGGCGGUCGGGGGUUCGAUCCCCUCUGCGCCCA